AGGGAGGUCUAUACUGCAGUCGAGGGGCAGCGGGAGCUUCGGUGUUGCCGGCGACCGGCGAACGGGUGCGUAAUGCGCAUGCAAUCUACUUUACACUGGGGAAUAACCUCCGGAAACGGGAAUUAAUACCCCAUAUAAUCUUAUCAGCGCAUGCUGAAAAGAUAAAAGCUCCGGCGGUGUAAAAUGAGCGUGCGUCCUAUUAGCUAGUUGGAGAGGUAAUGGCUCACCAAGGCUACGAUGGGUAGGGGUUCUUAGUGGAAGGUCCCCCACACUGGCACUGAGAUACGGGCCAGACUCCUACGGGAGGCAGCAGUAGGGAAUAUUGGUCAAUGGGCGCAAGCCUGAACCAGCCAUGCCGCGUGCAGGAUGAAGGCUCUCUGAGUUGUAAACUGCUUUUGUACAGGAGCAAAAAAAUCCCUGCGGGGGUUCUUGAGAGUACUGUAAAAAUAAGCACCGGCUAAUUCCGUGCCAGCAGCCGCGGUAAUACGGGAGGUGCAAGCGUUAUCCGGUUUUAUUGGGUUUAAAGGGUGCGUAUGCGGCUUAUUAACUCAGUUGUGAAAUCCUAGUGCUUAUGCUAGAACUGCGAUUGAUACUAUUAGGCUUGAGUUAAUAAUAGGUAGGCAGAAUUUAUGGUGUACUAGUGAAAUGCUUACAUAUCAUAAGGAAUACCAAUAGCGUAGGCAGCUUACUGGUCUUUAACUGACGCUGAGGCACAAAAGCGUGGGGAGCAACCAGGAUUAUAUACCCUGGUAGUCCACGCCGUAAACGAUGAUCACUCGAUAUACAUGAUGCGUCAUGUGUGUCUAAGCGAAAGCGUUAAGUGAUCCACCUGGGGAAUAUACUCGCAAGGGGGAAACUCAAAGGAAUUGACGGGGGUCCGCACAAGCGGGGGAAAAUGGGGGGUAAUUUCAAAAAAAACCCGAGGAACCUUACCUGGGCUAAAAAGGAUUU
This 951-nucleotide ribosomal RNA is filed under the name uncultured Candidatus Cardinium sp. RNAcentral describes it as "bacterial SSU rRNA". It matches the Rfam family "Bacterial small subunit ribosomal RNA", at positions 40 to 992 of the family's 1533-position model. The record is from RNAcentral. Lineage: Bacteria; Pseudomonadati; Bacteroidota; Cytophagia; Cytophagales; Amoebophilaceae.